UGUAAUGACAUUAAACUAUCAUGUAUGAAGUCAGGAGGUGAUUUCCAUGUGUGUGUUCAUUCUGCAGAUACAAUAAGUGAACAGACAUUUCUAUUGGCUUCUCUUGGACCAGCACUGAUGCUUCAUAUGUUCGAUGCAAACUCCAUGAGCGUCCAGCUUUAAAAACAUCAGACUGUCAGCAAAGUUCACAGCACAUCAGUUUCACCUCCAACCAUGUUGUCUGUAGCUCUACUGCUGCUCUUUGCAGCUGCAUCCUGUGUGAAGUGUGAACAGUUGACUCAGCCACAAUCUGUGACUGUGCAGCCAGGUCAACGUCUCUCCAUCACCUGUCAGGUCUCUUAUUCUUUGGGCAGCUACGCCACAAACUGGAUCAGACAUCCUGAAGGAAAAGCAAUGGAAUGGAUCGGUGCUGCACGUGUUGGAGCCACCUCAAGCUACAAAGAUUCACUGAAGAACAAGUUCAGUAUCAACUUAGACUCUUCCAGCAAAACAGCCACUCUGAAUGGACAGAAUAUGCAGCCUGAAGACUCUGCUGUGUAUUACUGUGCCAGAUACACACAGUGACACAAAUGAUCAGUAGACCUGAACAAAAACCCCUCAGUGUCUGAACACUUGUAACAUGAAGCCACCAGAGGAGGAGCCCUCAGACCAGGAAUGAAUUCAGACAAAUGCAACGAGAAAUCACUUAUGUACUGUAUAUAACACCGAAAAUGUGGAAAUUUUAUAAAGUCUUGACACCUUGAAAUGAAAAUUAAAAUAAAGCGAAAAUUUGGAAAA
Long non-coding RNA from Acanthochromis polyacanthus (spiny chromis), 777 nucleotides. RefSeq lists it as uncharacterized. The transcript has 3 exons. NCBI's taxonomy places the organism in Eukaryota, Metazoa, Chordata, Actinopteri, Pomacentridae. The record is from RefSeq and is a predicted model, not a curated record.